UUUCAUGUCUGGUGAUCCUCCAAAAAGGAGAUAGCCAAGCCUUGACAGUCCCAUAGUGUUGCAUGAAGCAGCGGACACGCAUGUCACCAUGUAGCCCCAGCCUAAUGGCUCAUGCACACAAGCUUUUUUUUCGUUCCGUGUCCAUUACGUUUUUUUGCGGACCAUAUGCGGAACCAUUCAUUUCAAUGGGUCCGCAAUAUAAACGGAAGUUACUCCGUGUGCAUUCCGUUUCCGUAUGUCCAUUCCACAAAAGAAUAGAACAUGUCCUAUUAUUGUCCGCAUUACGGACAAGGAUAGGACUGUUCUAUUAGGGGUCAGCUUCCGUUCCACAAAAUACGGAAUGCACACGGACGUCAUCCGUAUUUUUUGCGGCCCAUAAAGUACAUAGAGUUGUGGACAGGACAAACUAACGAGAACGUGGAAAGUAUUUGUCCCUAUGAUCACUACAUUCUCACAUAUCUUCAAUAACGAGUUACAGUUCUAUGACUACGAUUUUGGAGAACAGAUUAGGCUCAGUGCACGCUGCACCUCUGCCCUCCAUCAGCGGUAUACGUUAGGAAGAUUUUCAUACAUACUCUGUAUAUCUAAAGGCUCCAGCCUAUGUCACUGUAUAAGCAUACGUCACCCAUUGGAUCCUAUUCUAAGAAAAUUUGCUGAGACCCUCUGCAUAGAGAAGUGCAGUUUGCUGUCAUUUCCUACCCAGUUGCAAAAAAGGUACAUCGACACAUACUGGCCUGACACAUACCAUGAAUAUACAUCAAACGUACGGCUCGAAUGCAACCUGUACUGUUCCUAACUUUAUAAUUAGCAAAUUUUAAUGUCCUCUUAAAAUUAUUCCAAAAACCACAUGAAGCUGCUGCACCUUAAAGGUUUUUUUUUUAAUAUUCCUGACCUAGGUUCUCUGGAAGAUGUGCAUCCUGUAAAUUAAAGAGUUAAAAAAAAAUCCUACAGGGAGUAAAAACCUGUUCCUCCAAGUGGAGUGCUCUUUAAUGUGUGCUUUUAACGCUUUCCUCUCCAGAGCGAACAGCUUGGGCUGGGUUCACGUCACGUUUUUCCCAUCCGUUUAACGUAUACAAAAAACCUAUUUGUAUCCUCAGACUGAUACCAUACAGAUUCGUUUACCGUAGAGGUUCAUA
Bufo bufo (common toad) is the source of this 1136-nucleotide long non-coding RNA. RefSeq lists it as uncharacterized. The transcript is spliced from 3 exons. Lineage: Eukaryota; Metazoa; Chordata; Amphibia; Anura; Bufonidae. The record is from RefSeq and is a predicted model, not a curated record.